GACGAAGGAUGCAAGCGUUAUCCGGAUUCAUUGGGUUUAAAGGGUGCGUAGGCGGAUUGGUAAGUCAGUGGUGAAAUCUCGCAGCUUAACUGCGAAACUGCCAUUGAUACUGCUAAUCUAGAGUACAGUUGCCGUUGGCGGAAUAUGAUAUGUAGUGGUGAAAUACAUAGAUAUGUCAUAGAACACCGAUUGCGAAGGCAGCUAACGAAGCUGUAACUGACGCUGAGGCACGAAAGUGCGGGGAUCAAACAGG
This 253-nucleotide ribosomal RNA is filed under the name uncultured bacterium. RNAcentral's name for it is "partial 16S ribosomal RNA". It matches the Rfam family "Bacterial small subunit ribosomal RNA", at positions 524 to 776 of the family's 1533-position model. The record is from RNAcentral.